RNAcentral lists this ribosomal RNA (446 nucleotides) under uncultured bacterium. RNAcentral's name for it is "partial 16S ribosomal RNA". It matches the Rfam family "Bacterial small subunit ribosomal RNA", at positions 338 to 795 of the family's 1533-position model. The record is from RNAcentral.
CCUACGGGUGGCAGCAGUCGAGAAUCAUUCACAAUGGGGGAAACCCUGAUGGUGCGACGCCGCGUGGGGGAAUGAAUGUCUUCGGAUUUUAAACCCUUGUCAUGUGGGAGCAAAUUAUAAAGAUAGUACCACAAGAGGAAGAGACUGCUAACUCUGUGCCAGCAGCCGCGGUAAUACAGAGGUCGCAAGCGUUGUUCGGAAGCACUGGGCGUAAGGGGUGCGUAGGCUGUUUUGGAAGUCGUGUGUGAAAGGCGAGGGCUCAACCCGCGGACGGCACAUGAUACUGCGCUACUAGAGUAAUGGAGGGGGAACCGGAAUUCUCGGUGUAGCAGUGAAAUGCGUAGAUAUCGAGAGGAACACUAGUGGCGAAGGCGGGUUCCUGGACAUUAACUGACGCUGAGGCACGAAGGCCAGGGGAGCGAAAGGGAUUAGAUACCCGGGUAGUC